This 77-nucleotide transfer RNA is filed under the name Gammaproteobacteria bacterium. Its description in RNAcentral is "tRNA-Pro". It matches the Rfam family "tRNA". Rfam says of the family: Transfer RNA (tRNA) molecules are approximately 80 nucleotides in length. Their secondary structure includes four short double-helical elements and three loops (D, anti-codon, and T loops). Further hydrogen bonds mediate the characteristic L-shaped molecular structure. tRNAs have two regions of fundamental functional importance: the anti-codon, which is responsible for specific mRNA codon recognition, and the 3' end, to which the tRNAs corresponding amino acid is attached (by aminoacyl-tRNA synthetases). tRNAs cope with the degeneracy of the genetic code in two manners: having more than one tRNA (with a specific anti-codon) for a particular amino acid; and 'wobble' base-pairing, i.e. permitting non-standard base-pairing at the 3rd anti-codon position. Lineage: Bacteria; Pseudomonadati; Pseudomonadota; Gammaproteobacteria. The record is from RNAcentral.
CGGGACGUGGCGCAGCUUGGUAGCGCACUUGCAUGGGGUGCAAGGGGUCGGAGGUUCAAAUCCUCUCGUCCCGACCA